GACGAACGCUGGCGGCGUGCUUAACACAUGCAAGUCGAACGGAAAGGCCCUGCUUGUGUGGGGUGCUCGAGGGGCGAAGGGGUGAGUAACACGUGAGUAACCUGGCCUGGACUUGGUGAUAACUUCAGGAAAGCGGGGCUAAUACCGGAUAGGAGCUCCUGCUGCAGGGUGGGGUUUGGAAAGUUUCGGCGGUUGGGGAUGGACGCGCGGCUUAUCAGCUUGUUGGGGGGGUAGUGGCUUACCAAGGCUUUGACGGGUAGCCUGCCUGGGAGGGUGACCGGCCACAUUGGGACUGAGAUACGGCCCAGACUCCUACGGGAGGCAGCAGUGGGGAAUAUUGCACAAUGGGCGGAAGCCUGAUGAAGAAACGCCGCGUGCGGGAUGACGGCCUUCGGGUUGUAAACCGCUUUCGCCUGUGACGAAGCGUGAGUGACGGUAAUGGGUAAAGAAGCACCGGCUAACUACGUG
Molecule: ribosomal RNA, 468 nt
Filed under: uncultured bacterium
Lineage: Bacteria
Description: partial 16S ribosomal RNA
Rfam family: Bacterial small subunit ribosomal RNA
Source: RNAcentral